This 1000-nucleotide ribosomal RNA is filed under the name uncultured bacterium. RNAcentral's name for it is "bacterial SSU rRNA". It matches the Rfam family "Bacterial small subunit ribosomal RNA", at positions 59 to 1051 of the family's 1533-position model. The record is from RNAcentral.
CAGUCGAGCGGAACGAAAGUAGCUUGCUACUAGGCGUCGANCGGCGGACGGGUGAGUAAUGCUUAGGAAUCUACCGAGUAGUGGGGGAUAGCCAUUGGAAACGAUGAUUAAUACCGCAUAUAUCCUACGGGGGAAAGCAGGGGACCUUCGGGCCUUGCGCUAUUCGAUGAGCCUGAGUGAGAUUAGCUAGUUGGUGGGGUAAAGGCCUACCAAGGCGACGAUCUCUAGCUGGUCUGAGAGGAUGAUCAGCCACACUGGGACUGAGACACGGCCCAGACUCCUACGGGAGGCAGCAGUGGGGAAUAUUGCACAAUGGGCGAAAGCCUGAUGCAGCCAUGCCGCGUGUGUGAAGAAGGCCUUCGGGUUGUAAAGCACUUUCAGCGAGGAGGAAAGGUUAGUAGUUAAUAACUGCUAGCUGUGACGUUACUCGCAGAAGAAGCACCGGCUAAUUUAGUGCCAGCAGCCGCGGUAAUACUAAAGGUGCAAGCGUUAAUCGGAAUUACUGGGCGUAAAGCGCGCGUAGGUGGUUUGUUAAGUUGGAUGUGAAAGCCCAGGGCUCAACCUUGGAACUGCAUUCAAAACUGACUCACUAGAGUACGAGAGAGGUUAGUGGAAUUUCCUGUGUAGCGGUGAAAUGCGUAGAGAUGGGAAGGAACACCAGUGGCGAAGGCGACUGACUGGCUCGAUACUGACACUGAGGUGCGAAAGCGUGGGGAGCAAACGGGAUUAGAUACCCCGGUAGUCCACGCCGUAAACGAUGUCUACUAGCCGUUGGAGGACUUGAUCCUUUAGUGGCGCAGCUAACGCGAUAAGUAGACCGCCUGGGGAGUACGGCCGCAAGAUUAAAACUCAAAUGAAUUGACGGGGGCCCGCACAAGCGGUGGAGCAUNNNNNUUAAUUCGAAGCAACGCGAAGAACCUUACCUACUCUUGACAUCCANNNAACUUGCUAGAGAUAGCUUGGUGCCUUCGGGAACACUGNGACANNNNNNNCAUGGNUG